CUUUGAUGAUACCAAUACUGAAAUUUUAAGGAUGGCAACAAAGGAUCAUCUUGAGAUGGAGAAUGAAGAAUUAAACUUUGAUCCCACUAGCAUUGACUGGAUCGACUAUUUGAUGAAUGCACACAUUCCUGGCCUCAUUAAGUAUCAAAUGAAAUAG
Molecule: non-coding RNA, 157 nt
Organism: Vicia faba (fava bean)
Lineage: Eukaryota; Viridiplantae; Streptophyta; Magnoliopsida; Fabales; Fabaceae
Source: the annotation of a GenBank genome assembly